RNAcentral lists this ribosomal RNA (208 nucleotides) under uncultured bacterium. Its description in RNAcentral is "partial 16S ribosomal RNA". It matches the Rfam family "Bacterial small subunit ribosomal RNA", at positions 568 to 775 of the family's 1533-position model. The record is from RNAcentral.
CGCGUAGGCGGCCAUGCAAGUCUGGAGUGGAAGUCCACUUUUCAAGGGUGGAAUUGCUUUGGAAACUGCGUGGCUGGAGUGCAGGAGAGGUUAUCGGAAUUCCCGGUGUAGCGGUGAAAUGCGUAGAGAUCGGGAGGAACACCAGUGGCGAAGGCGGGUAACUGGACUGCAACUGACGCUGAGGCGCGAAAGUGUGGGGAGCAAACAG